CAUAUCAAUAAGCGGAGGAAAAGAAACCAACAGGGAUUGCCCUAGUAACGGCGAGUGAAGCGGCAACAGCUCAAAUUUGAAAUCUGGCCCUCGGGUCCGAGUUGUAAUUUGUAGAGGAUGCUUUUGGUGCGGUACCUUCCGAGUUCCCUGGAACGGGACGCCAUAGAGGGUGAGAGCCCCGUCUGGUUGGAUACCAAUCCUCUGUAAAGCUCCUUCGACGAGUCGAGUAGUUUGGGAAUGCUGCUCUAAAUGGGAGGUAUAUGUCUUCUAAAGCUAAAUACCGGCCAGAGACCGAUAGCGCACAAGUAGAGUGAUCGAAAGAUGAAAAGCACUUUGAAAAGAGGGUUAAACAGUACGUGAAAUUGUUGAAAGGGAAGCGCUUGUGACCAGACUUGGGCAUGGUUAAUCAUCCAGCGUUCUCGCUGGUGCACUUGGCCUGCCCAGGCCAGCAUCAGUUCGGUGCGGGGGAUAAAGGCUUCGGGAAUGUGGCUCCUCCGGGAGUGUUAUAGCCCGUUGUGCAAUACCCUG
Molecule: ribosomal RNA, 528 nt
Filed under: Hypocreales sp.
Lineage: Eukaryota; Fungi; Ascomycota; Sordariomycetes; Hypocreales
Description: eukaryotic LSU rRNA
Rfam family: Eukaryotic large subunit ribosomal RNA
Source: RNAcentral